GCGGCCGUCCGCAGUCCGGGUGCCUGGGGGCCGAGCCGCAAGAGGAGGCCGCUCAGGUUAAAAGGGAAGCCGGUGUGAAUCCGGCACGGUCCCGCCACUGUCAUCGGGGUAAGCUCCAUACAGCCACUGCGCGCCGGAAGGCGUGCGGGAAGGCGGAGCGCCGCCGGUCCGUAUUCUUCGGCCGGCCCCGUAAGUCAGGAAACCUGCCCGGACCUUGGCGUUGUC
This 225-nucleotide non-coding RNA is filed under the name Paenibacillus mucilaginosus. RNAcentral also lists the same sequence under 1 other name. The record is from RNAcentral. Lineage: Bacteria; Bacillati; Bacillota; Bacilli; Caryophanales; Paenibacillaceae.